CGAAAUUCCUCUGUUGUCUUCCAGGGGACCUCAACCCAAACGAAAUACCACCCCACACUCAUCCUCGACAGCGCUCGACCCAUAAUGUGGCAAGGAUGGAGCUCGACCCAAACGGUGACAAAGCUCAAUAUUUCUCUCUCUCUCUCUCUCUCUCUCUCUCUCUCUCUAUGAUGAAGAAUUCCUCUGCUUUGGUUCUUCAAGCCGUUAAAGCAUCUUUUAGAGAGAUUUGGUCAAAUGGGAUGUAUAUGUUCCGUUGAUCAGUAGUUCUUCACGGCUCGACAAGGUUGAGCUCUGUCGCGGGUCGAGUUCUGUCACGGUUUGACAGGGUCGAGCUUUGGGGUGGCAGUGCAAAGUGACGAUGACGAUGUCAACAUGUAAAAGAAUUUGGCUUGUUUGAAAUGAGGAAGAGAAAACACAAGCAUGAGGAAGCGCUUGUGGUGAUUCUUUGUGGCAAGGUUGCAUUUCUGUAUUGUGUUUUUUCCAACGUGUCACCAUCUCAUUAGAAGGCCGCUCUUCUAAUUUAAAUAGCCUGAUUGCUCCUAAGCACUUCUGUGUAUAUAUAUACGAGUAGAAUUAAAAAGUCCAAGGGACGUUUGCCUAGUGGAGGUAAAAUAUAAAUGUAAAA
Carya illinoinensis is the source of this 625-nucleotide long non-coding RNA. RefSeq lists it as uncharacterized. Lineage: Eukaryota; Viridiplantae; Streptophyta; Magnoliopsida; Fagales; Juglandaceae. The transcript has 2 exons. The record is from RefSeq and is a predicted model, not a curated record.